UCCCACAUAAUUUGCCCCUGUGUGAGGGCAGC
RNAcentral lists this non-coding RNA (32 nucleotides) under Rattus norvegicus (Norway rat). The record is from RNAcentral. Lineage: Eukaryota; Metazoa; Chordata; Mammalia; Rodentia; Muridae.